Molecule: non-coding RNA, 1416 nt
Organism: Prunus avium (sweet cherry)
Lineage: Eukaryota; Viridiplantae; Streptophyta; Magnoliopsida; Rosales; Rosaceae
Source: RefSeq, a predicted model, not a curated record
AUUCUCAAACUUUGCAAAUUUCUCUCUCUCUCUCUCUCUCUCUCUCUCUCUCUCUCACAUCAAAUCCCAUCGAAACCCUCCCCCUCUUUCUGUGGCUUCUUCUCUGUCUCCCUCUCUCACAAUCUAUGGCUUCUCUCUCACCGGAACAUUCAGGAGCUUCAACUCCUCAUCAGCUACAAGACAAUUGCUCGAGGCCAAUGGCUUCGAAGGUGAAGGCUGCGUGACAAUUCCUAAAGUGCGAUUUUCUCUUAAUAAAGAUGAGUUACUUCAAAUGGUGAGAUUUGGUGCUGAAAUGGUGUUGCUCAUAUGCUUGCACAAUUGUCUAAGGCCUUCGAGAUAAAUUUUAUGGCUUAAUAUCUAUGUUUGCACCAAAGCAGGUGGAACUUUCAAGAGAGUGUUUUUGAUUGAUCAUAUCUUUUAGUAGCUUUGAUUGCAUCUCUUUUUGCACCAUGUAGAGUUUAAUUAGCUUUGGUUAUGUUUCAGAAAUGUAUCAAAUAUCCCUUUUCAGUUUCUGUUUUCACAUAAUCUGUUUUCACAUAAUCACCAUCCCUGUUUUUCAAGUAUUUCAUGUUCUGUUAUUGACUUCAAGCGUAUAAUAUUGCAUUUCGUGUUCUGUUAUUUCAUGUUUUGUUCACCAAAAGUACUUAAGCCAUUGCUUCUACUGUUUCUAUCAGAGCUGCCGAACUUGGUAUUAAUCUUGCUAUUGCAGAUAUUGUCAUUCUUUAUGACAGUGAUAGGUAUUAAUCGUGCACUGAGAUGAUACAUUUCCAGCUAUGCAUUGAUGGCUUUGGUUGCCCUGCAAAUUUGGUAAUUAUUGUUGGAAAUCCCUCCUUAGUGGAGGAAUAGUUUUUGUCUUAAUGAUGAUGCUUUUGGUAGGAGAUAAGGUGCAAUGAUGGGUGAGGUUCUUUGACCAACAUUAUUGUUUCCUUGGACAUGCGGCUGGUUACUUUGCAUGCACGUGGGCUGUUUUUUGGAGUUGAAAAAUCAGCCAUUCUUUUAUGGUUUAUAAAAGGGAAGGGUGCAUGCAUGUGGUAUUUAAAUUUUUUUUUUUUAACUUGCUAAACAGAGUAUGAGAAGAGUAUCAGAAGAAAGGUUUAGAGUAUCACAGAAUCAUCAUCCCUGUUUUUCUUAAUUUUUUGCUGGCUCAUCUGUUUUCACAGAAAUGUAUCAUUUGCUUGUGUUAUGUUGCUGGCUCAUCUGUUUGGUUUUUUAAUUUUUUUUAAACUUACUAAACAUAGUAUCAGAAGAAAGGUUUAGAGUAUCACAAGAAAUGUUUCUGGUUUCAAUUAUGUGUCCUUUGUAUUACUUACAACAUCUCUCUCUCUCUCUCUCUCUCUCUCUCUCACAGAUAGAAACCAGAAAGACGCUUUUUUAUUUGGGUGAAAACCCUAACUGGAAAGUCCAUCACUCUUGAGG